Molecule: ribosomal RNA, 512 nt
Filed under: uncultured bacterium
Lineage: Bacteria
Description: bacterial SSU rRNA
Rfam family: Bacterial small subunit ribosomal RNA
Source: RNAcentral
ACUCAAAUGAAUAGACGGGGGCCCGCACAAGCAGCGGAGCAUGUGGUUUAAUUCGAAGCAACGCGAAGAACCUUACCGGGGCUUGACAUCCCUCUGGAGCGUAUAGAGAUAUACGCGACUUAUGUCGUAAGAUAUAAGGCAGGGGAGACAGGUGGUGCAUGGUUGUCGUCAGCUCGUGUCGUGAGAUGUUGGGUUAAGUCCCGCAACGAGCGCAACCCUUAUCUUUAGUUGCCAACACGUUAAGGUGGGGACUCUAAAGAGACUGCCGGGGAUAACUCGGAGGAAGGUGGGGACGACGUCAAAUCAUCAUGCCCCUUAUGUCCCGGGCUACACACGUGCUACAAUGGCCGGAAACAGAGGGUAGCGAAGCGGUAACGCGGAGCCAAUCCUACAAAGCCGGUCCCAGUUCGGAUUGUGGGCUGCAACUCGCCCACAUGAAGUCGGAGUUGCUAGUAAUCGCGAAUCAGCAUGUCGCGGUGAAUGCGUUCCCGGGCCUUGUACACACCGCCCGU